Molecule: non-coding RNA, 651 nt
Organism: Camelina sativa (false flax)
Lineage: Eukaryota; Viridiplantae; Streptophyta; Magnoliopsida; Brassicales; Brassicaceae
Source: RefSeq, a predicted model, not a curated record
UAUAGCUUGUGCUUAUUGGGCCUGUAUUGCCGACUCAGAGAUUUUAUCUGUGCUUAUUGGGCCUGCGUUGCCGACUCCGAGGUUUAUUACAGUGAUCAGUGUCUUCUUCUUUGCUCUUUGAAAUAGAGAGAGCCUUGUCGCUUCUUCUACAGAUCCUCAAAAUCAAAAAAUUCACAAAAAUCUGUCUUUUGAGUUUUGAGCGCCAUUGAAAUUUCUUCUUCUUCUUAAUUGGGUUUUAAGCGCCAUGAAUCUCGAAAAACUCAAACCGAAAAAUCGAUGGUGUUGAUUGAAGAAAACUGCCGAGGCAAAUCGAACCCCUUGAAGCAUAAGAUUUCCUUCUUUAGCGCUUCCGUUUGAUUCCAGCUCCUUGGUAGUUCGCUUCAUGUACUCCUGAGCUAGCCUAAGCGAGCUGUAUUUUAUCUGCAACAAGGAGACAUAGCUCCAUUCUGAUUGAUCUUGUUCCCCAUAUGAGACUCUCUCUUCGUCAGGGCACGAUAAAACUCUACAACUUCUGGAGCACGCGACACAGAUCUUUUUCCAAGUGUUGUCUUUGAUGGAAGUGGUGGAGGUGGUGGCGGCUUUAUUGCUGUAGACUGUACUUGGGCCAUUGGCUUGGGAUUUGGAUUCCUGACCUCUUGACCCUUUGUGUUG